UUGAAGGAGGAGCGUUGGUGUGAGGACAAACACAAGACAGACACAACUCUUUGAUAUCCAGUGAAGAGGUCAGGAGUGUUUUACCUCAACCACAAUUUUGCCUGCAUAUGGAUCCCAUCAUCAAAGAGUCCUCAUCACCGAUUCAAAGAGCUCUCAAGUACCAGCCUUACUGCUCCAGUCCACCUUUGGUGACACAAAAGACUUCAAGAGGAUCUAGAUCUCGGUCUACAGAUUCUGGUCCAGCCAGUGGAUGUAGUUGUUCAUGCUUCUCCACCCAACCUUAGACAUCAUCGGCAGAUACGCAAACACCAUGCAGCCAUGAAAACCGUCCUCGUAGUGAUCGCUGGUCACCGUGACGCCGGCGUCCUGCAGCCGCCUGACAUACAUCAGCCCGUCAUCCCUCAGCACGUCAAACUCACACGUCAUCACGUAUGCUUUGGGCGUCCUACCCAGAACCCCCUGCUCUGCCAGCAGCGGUGCCGCCCUCACAUCAAUAAGCUGGGGUAUCUCACCCAUCACCCGUGGCGAUCCCGUUUCUCGCACCACGGGGCGGAAGUGCUUCCUGCGUUUCGCCGGCAGCAGAGCGGUCCAGUCCACCUUGGAGCGGAUGCUGCUGCUGAGGGCCAGCUGGUCCAGGGAGCUGUGGUUGUUGGCCAGCAGGACGGGCUCCAGGGAGGUGUCGGCCCCCAGGUACUGUAGCCAGUAGCGAGCCAUGAUCGGCCUGUAGAGGAUGGGCACGUCCCGGUUCUGCUGGUAGGACGGGGUGUAGAAGUCGAGCGCCUGCAGCACGGGGUAGAUCAGCGCCUGCAGCUUGAAGUUCACCGUCAGAGAGUCAUCAGAGCUGAGCUGUGGACACAGCAGCCAGGUUUCCCCCGGCGCUGUCCCCUGACACACACACCCUCUCCGGGUCGAUGCUGUAGCGGUCUAAAACCUCAGCAGACAGGAAGGCCCGUGACGCCGCUAACGCAUCGUGGUACUGAGCUGGGAACACCGCAUCUGGAGCGAGACGGUAACUAAAGACACAGGAAAUCAAGAUUAUACGUAGAUAUUUGUUGGUUUAAAUGUAUAUCCUUCCAAGCAUCUUACAUAAAUGCUGAUGUAAGUAGACUAUGUUCAGUAAACUGUAAACAGCAUUGUUUGCCUUAACUACAGCUCGGUUUAUGCUUCAAAAUGCAUAAUAAAAAGGGACAGAAAGGGACAAAUAGAAAAUAAACUGCCCGACAAAAUAAAGUUAUUGGUAAAAUAAUUCAAAACUCAGAUUUAAACUCAGAUUUUGAAAACUGAUGUUGAUGGGGCUCCUUUGGGAAGAGAGGUUUCCCUAAACACUCUAUUUGGGGAUGAUCUCCCUUUAUAUAAUCAGCAAUAUUUACAUUAAAUAUAAUUUUUCCCAACAUUAAGUUUACUGCAAUGUGACAGAACUUACUCCACAGACAUGACGACAGAGUCCAGGUCUUCCGCCAUUUUCCGACAAAGAAGGUCGUAUGAUCGCAUCCCUGUGAGGCAGAUCAUGAUGUCAUGUGAACAAAAAGGGCAUUAUUGUAAAUCACACUGGCUUUUCACAGUCAUAAAUGUUAACCUGAAAAGUUAAAUUGUUCAAUAUCAAUCCUCCUUUUUUUUGGCAUCUUUCCAACUUUUUAAAAACACUCACUUCCACUGCAAAGAGCCCACCCUCCACCGUGGAAAUAAAUGACUCCUCUCUUCAGCUGCUUCCCUCCCUUUGGCUGGAAGACUCGGGUCGGCACGCCGGCCAGCGUGGUGUCCGUCACGUGCACGGCGGGGCAGGAGUGAGCUUCGAUCUCCUCCACCAAGGACACCACGUGGUUCAACAGGUGGAUCCGAUGACACACACCCAGAGCGUGGGCCACAUCACUCUGAAAAUACAAACACACAUGGCAGUUAUUUCGUGGAUAAAGGGAGUUUUCUAUACCUGAGAGAAACACUUACGAUCCCUCAGUACAGAGAAGACACUGAAAUCCAAAUUGUAUUGACUUCACUUCCAGACAUUUUCUAUCCUUCAGCUUACCUCUUGUAAUUUAGUAUUUAUUCCUUAAUUUAUCAGGUGUGAUCGUUCUCUGGAGCCCCUCCCUGCCGUUAUAAAGCUUGAAAGACUGAAAGAAUGAGCAGGGUGUGAAAACCCGCCCUGCACUUUAAGCAAGAGCAGAAACGUGUGCCCCCACAAUGACGUUUAAGAUUAUAGGAUUUGGAUAUGCGAGUGGGCUUAGCUGAAUACUAGCAUGAUACACAGAUGUUACAUUGUUCAGGAGCAGGGAUACCUCAAGCCACUUCAUUUUGUUCUGUUUAAUCUGGCUGCUUAAAAGUAAAUAUUUCCAGGAAAAAGAAUAAAGAAACCCUUUGGUGA
Molecule: long non-coding RNA, 2359 nt
Organism: Eleginops maclovinus (Patagonian blennie)
Lineage: Eukaryota; Metazoa; Chordata; Actinopteri; Perciformes; Eleginopidae
Exons: 3
Source: RefSeq, a predicted model, not a curated record